CUCAUAAGUGCAAGGAAGGCCCUGGGCUUGUUCCCAGCAAUGCACACAGACUUUAGCCAAAAUGUUCAGCCACCUAAAAGCACGUAUUUAUUCCCAUCUCCUAAGUGGCCCCAGAACCAGAAUCUCAUGAAGGAAGCAGGGUUGGGGCGGUAAGACAUGCUCGCUGCACCUCCUCUUUCCCCUCUGGUAGGUGGUCCCCCUAAUCUCCCUGAGCUUUGCAGUUCUGGGCUAAGGUUGGGCCUCUGGGAUGUAAGGCUUAAGAUCCCAGCACUGAUUAUAUGCUCUGCUCAGAUGCCUAGAGGAACGAACUCCGUGAGUGAGCGCUCAGACACAUCUAAGAGACUGAGCAAGUUGCAAGGAAUUGGAAGGAAAUGGUCGCUUACAGGCUGAGAGGCAGCAGUGCCCAGAAUCCUAAAAGCCAAAGGUCUUAGGGGCUAUGCUGGUGGCUCAGGUCUUACCUCUCCACAGAGUCCCUCCCGUAGGGUCAACACCCUCCGCUAAGGAAGGUGCUCCUAGGAAGGCAUCCUCCACAAACCCCGACACCACUGCUCCAUUGUCAUGAGCUUGCGCUUGGUGUGUUAAGGUUAUGGUCAUUGGGACUGAGCAUGAGGAGAGACCUUCCAGUAGCCUCACAAUACUAUGAAGGAGGGAUGACACUUUUCUGUGAAAUGGGCUAGGUUUUAUCUGGUCUCCCUGGAACCCAGCUCGCUGCCCACCAGGAAGCAAUAGCAUGCGAGCCCCUCUGCAGCCAUGUCUGACAGAGACAAGAAAGGGAAGCUCUGCCCUUGUCAUAAUGUUUAAUCACAUAAAUUAAUUUAUCUAAUCACAUAAAUUAUUUUUUUUAUUCAUCAGAAAUAAACUUUUAAAGG
Molecule: long non-coding RNA, 869 nt
Filed under: Rattus norvegicus (Norway rat)
Lineage: Eukaryota; Metazoa; Chordata; Mammalia; Rodentia; Muridae
Description: long non-coding RNA NONRATT028763
Source: RNAcentral